RNAcentral lists this ribosomal RNA (492 nucleotides) under uncultured bacterium. Its description in RNAcentral is "partial 16S ribosomal RNA". It matches the Rfam family "Bacterial small subunit ribosomal RNA", at positions 29 to 507 of the family's 1533-position model. The record is from RNAcentral.
AGUGAACGCUGGCGGUAGGCCUAACACAUGCAAGUCGAACGGCAGCACAGUAAGAGCUUGCUCUUACGGGUGGCGAGUGGCAGACGGGUGAGGAAUACAUCGGAAUCUACUUUUUCGUGGGGGAUAACGUAGGGAAACUUACGCUAAUACCGCAUACGACCUACGGGUGAAAGCAGGGGAUCUUCGGACCUUGCGCGAUUGAAUGAGCCGAUGUCGGAUUAGCUAGUUGGCGGGGUAAAGGCCCACCAAGGCGACGAUCCGUAGCUGGUCUGAGAGGAUGAUCAGCCACACUGGAACUGAGACACGGUCCAGACUCCUACGGGAGGCAGCAGUGGGGAAUAUUGGACAAUGGGCGCAAGCCUGAUCCAGCCAUACCGCGUGGGUGAAGAAGGCCUUCGGGUUGUAAAGCCCUUUUGUUGGGAAAGAAAAGCAGCAGGUUAAUACCCCGCUGUUCCGACGGUACCCAAAGAAUAAGCACCGGCUAACUUCGUG